RNAcentral lists this ribosomal RNA (397 nucleotides) under uncultured bacterium. RNAcentral's name for it is "bacterial SSU rRNA". It matches the Rfam family "Bacterial small subunit ribosomal RNA", at positions 29 to 408 of the family's 1533-position model. The record is from RNAcentral.
AACGAACGCUGGCGGCGUGCCUAACACAUGCAAGUCGUGCGAGAAAGUUCCUUCGGGAGCGAGUAAAGCGGCGCACGGGUGAGUAACACGUAGGUAACCUCGCCCCCCAGUCUGGAACAACUAGAGGAAACUCUAGCUAAUGCCGGAUGAGACCACGAUCCCGUUCGGGGGUGCGGCCAAAGAUGGCCUCUACUUGUAAGCUAUCGCUGAGGGAUGGGCCUGCGGGCCAUUAGCUUGUUGGUGAGGUAACGGCUCACCAAGGCUGUGAUGGCUAGCUGGUCUGAGAGGAUGACCAGCCACACUGGGACUGAGACACGGCCCAGACUCCUACGGGAGGCAGCAGUGGGGAAUAUUGCGCGAUGGGCGAAAGCCUGACGCAGCGACGCCGCGUGGGUGA